UGCUUGAAAGAAUUGUAUAGACAAAUAUCUUUGGCUCUUUUAGAGUAUAAUCGAUCCGUUGUUAUUUGUUGCAGGUAAAUACUAAAGCUUUACAAUGAAGGUUAUCUUAAUGCUCGCUAUGAUGUGUCUUGUGAUCGUUGCUGUGGAUGCUAACCCCCCAGCUGUUUCAUUCACUUGCACAAGCCCAAGCUUCUCCUGCAGUAAAGGUUACGGCAAAGGAACCAAAUACGUUUGCGCAUCACCCUUCAGAUACUGCCCCAAUGGCCACGUCACUGGAUAAGUGAUGGAAUCAAAUUGCUCUGUGCACGAAUAAUGCAAAUAAAAGCAGCACAAAAAUAAA
Non-coding RNA from Ciona intestinalis (vase tunicate), 340 nucleotides. The record is from RefSeq and is a predicted model, not a curated record. Lineage: Eukaryota; Metazoa; Chordata; Ascidiacea; Phlebobranchia; Cionidae.